CACUAACCAUCCAGUGUUAGUGUAGACCCUACAAGUUAAAGGGUAUGAUCCCAAACAAUAUUGCCCUUUACUUUAGAAACCAGCUGGACUUCAGGAGUCUCCAGACCUCCUGCACUCUGGCCAACUAGCCAUAAAUUCAGAGGUUUCCAUGACUCCCUCAAGUUCAGAAAUUGGCUAGAAAGAUUUACACAACUCAGGAAAGUACUAUAUUUACAAUUAUAGCUUUUUUUUUUUAUACAGGGUCUUGCUCUGUCACCAGGCUGGACUGCAGCGGCACAAUCACAGAUCACUGCAACUCUUGAUCUCCUGGGCUCAAACAAUUCUCCCACCUCAGCCUCUUGAAAAAAAAUAAUCUGUUGACAAUGAUAAAAAUGGCUGACAGAGCAGUCAGACUCAAGGUGGAAAGACCAGACGAGAGACUUACAACAGUGUAUUUGGAAAAAUUUUAACAAGAAGAGGACGAGCCAAGACAGGUUCAGCUAGAUGGGCCUUUCAAGUGAUCACCAUUGCCAGUGAAUGUGGAAGCAUCAACUAUCAUCUGUAAACCACAUCUGUUUAUAAUCUUUACACUGGCAAAUGACAGAGUGAGAAAUGAAGCCAAGAGAGAAGUGUUGCUUUCCCCAUGUCCCACAGUUGGUUAUCCAUCACAUCAGACCAUGUGCAAGAUCUUCCCACGACACCACUAUGUCUAGAUUCCUACUGAACUGCAAACUCAUGCCUCGUUAAUACCUCAAUCGACAGGCAUGCAUAGCUGGCUGCUGCACAACAGAAAUAUAUUGGAAAUCAGCAAAUGGAGAGGGAUCCUCUUACCAAAGAUCUUUAAGGAAUUUCUCUAAUACAAUUAUUGUGUAUCCAUAAUAA
This is a long non-coding RNA of Symphalangus syndactylus (siamang), 861 nucleotides long. RefSeq lists it as uncharacterized. NCBI's taxonomy places the organism in Eukaryota, Metazoa, Chordata, Mammalia, Primates, Hylobatidae. The record is from RefSeq and is a predicted model, not a curated record.